AACGAACGCUGGCGGCAUGCCUAACACAUGCAAGUCGAACGAGACCUUCGGGUCUAGUGGCGCACGGGUGCGUAACGCGUGGGAACCUGCCCUUAGGUUCGGAAUAACUCCCCGAAAGGGGUGCUAAUACCGGAUAAUGUCUUCGGACCAAAGAUUUAUCGCCUUUGGAUGGGCCCGCGUUGGAUUAGCUAGUUGGUAGGGUAAAAGCCUACCAAGGCGACGAUCCAUAGCUGGUCUGAGAGGAUGAUCAGCCACACUGGGACUGAGACACGGCCCAGACUCCUAGGGGGGGGAGCAGGGGGGAAUAUUGGACAAGGGGCGAAAGCCUGAUCCAGCAAUGCCGGGUGAGUGAUGAAGGCCUUGGGGUUGUAAAGCUCUUUUCCCCGGGAUGAUAAUGACAGUACCGGGAGAAAAAGCCCCGGCAAACCCCGU
Molecule: ribosomal RNA, 432 nt
Filed under: uncultured bacterium
Lineage: Bacteria
Description: partial 16S ribosomal RNA
Rfam family: Bacterial small subunit ribosomal RNA
Source: RNAcentral